UGGGGAAUAUUGCACAAUGGGCGGAAGCCUGAUGCAGCGACGCCGCGUGAGGGAUGACGGCCUUCGGGUUGUAAACCUCUUUCAGCAGGGACGAAGCGCAAGUGACGGUACCUGCAGAAGAAGCGCCGGCCAACUACGUGCCAGCAGCCGCGGUAAGACGUAGGGCGCGAGCGUUGUCCGGAUUUAUUGGGCGUAAAGAGCUCGUAGGCGGCUUGUCGCGUCGUCCGUGAAAACCCGGGGCUCAACCCCGGGCUUGCGGUCGAUACGGGCAGGCUCGAGUUCGGUAGGGGAGACUGGAAUUCCUGGUGUAGCGGUGAAAUGCGCAGAUAUCAGGAGGAACACCGGUGGCGAAGGCGGGUCUCUGGGCCGAUACUGACGCUGAGGAGCGAAAGCGUGGGGAGCGAACA
Molecule: ribosomal RNA, 407 nt
Filed under: uncultured Actinoplanes sp.
Lineage: Bacteria; Bacillati; Actinomycetota; Actinomycetes; Micromonosporales; Micromonosporaceae
Description: bacterial SSU rRNA
Rfam family: Bacterial small subunit ribosomal RNA
Source: RNAcentral